UUGUAUUCUAGAAUAAAAUAGUUCAAGUAUUUGAAACGUUUUUUUUUUAUCAAAACAAAUGCACAUAUGUAAACUUAGCCAUUCAUUAAAAAAAAAAAAAAAAACCAUCGAGAAUACAUUAGCAAUGAUAUACAGGCUUAUACAUUUAAUUACAUUUUCAAGUGUAUAUUUUUCUGUUCUGAAACUGGAAUUCUGGUUUUAGCUAUAAUGCAUGCUACUUAAAAGUAUAAAUACAAAUACAAACAUGUAGUUCAAGGUCAUAAAAACUGCGUGCAGACAUCAGAAAAUGCUGUUUUAGAUGAAGUAUAGACUACAGGCCAUUACUGCCAUUGCUUGACAUGUAAUGUCAAGUUAUUUCCCUUCAUUCUACAGUUCUGCAUUGCACAGCCCACACAUCUAAUGAUCAGUGAUGAAUAAUUGAUCUGCUCUGAGAACACAUGCAGAGUUCAUGUGUGCACAGCGAGGUCUGGUGCUUCUCUGUUUAGACACAGACACCUUGCGUAUAUGUAGGUCACACAUGUACAUAAAUCUGUGUCACGCACUGACAAGAAACAGCACAUCUGCUGCGCUAUAAUGAAGAUAUUGAUCAUCAUAUCAUGCAAAGUGUAUUUGAUCAGCUGCUUCAGACACAUCUUAUCUUAUCGGCCGAGCAGCUGUCUGCUGAUGCCUGGUUAAUCAUUUAAACACAGACCCCAGCAUGCACUGACCAGACUUUUGUUGUCAAACUUUGAUUUUAAAAGUUCAGCAAGGGGAACAUCUGUCGGCGCCAAGGUUAGAUGGAAGUGAGACAGACAAAGAUUAGAUUAGAUGUUGGUCUUUUUAUAGGCCUAUGCAGAAAGCUGGCUGUCUUGUCCUUAAAUAUAACAUCAUUUUAAAAGCCUUUAAAGCAUUAAUAGUAAAAAAAAAAAAAAAAAAAAAAAAUCCCUAUUACCUGUUGAUUGAGAGGAUUUAGUAAGGCAGCUAGAAUCCUGAGGGCCGUGUGAAUUACAAGCACGCACACACACACACACACACACGCACACACACACACACACACACACACACACACAGUGCCUCGGUCCUGAACCCAUUGGAGAGAUGUUUGGCUGUCUCCUGGAGGAGUCCCCAGUGGUUUACGUCCAUAUACACCACAGCUUCCUGUUCCCUGAACAGGGACAGAAGAAGGUGGCAGGUGUCCCGACAAAGCCCUUGUCUUGAGCUCACUAAUGCACGCGUGUGACACGGGUUACAGACACACUUGAUCCAGCAUAUGUGAUGCUGCAAUCAGAGGCUAAAGGCUUAGGUUCUGUGGUUUUGUGUCCACCACCGGACACUGACACAUGAAGGAUGUAAUUCUGUUCAAUGUAAGACCAAGUUAUAAACACCCUAAAGACAAUACAAUUAGAAAGAAGUGUAAGAAAAAACUAAAUGAAACAAGCAUUUUGUUACACUUUCCACCGUGGAAUAAAAUGUAAUUUUAACUGCACAGAAAACAGAAUUUUUUUUUGCUCUUAUUUCCAGAAAAAAUGAAACAAAAUAUCAAUAGAUAUCUGGAAGUGUAAAAGUGGAGCCUGUGAAUUGACACAUUUUCCAGUGAAACGACAAAGUGACUCAACACCAAUUACAGGCAAACGUGAAGCUCUUCACACCUAAUGUGCAGACGAGAGACUGAAAUGGAGAAAUAAGGGUUAAAGUAUGUUUGUUACUGAAGGAGAGGGCUUCGUAAUCCAUCUGCUCUCAAUUUACUGCCUCAAUUUGCCUUUGUAUUUAACAUGAAUGUUAAGGAAAUGUGUAUGCAAAAAGCUCAUCGUCUGGCCAUCAUGUUUUGUUAUUGUGUUUGGAAACUGGGGCAGAUGUGUUUGCCAUGCAUUCAAAAGCAGAAAUGAAAUUCUGAAGCUAACGCCAUCUUUCUGUUCUUCCUCUUCUCAUAGCAGAAGUUUUCUUUUAAAUCUAUUGUUAUGUACACCUGUCUCAUCUGACAGUAUGUGAGCUUGAUCAUGGCGACGGACAAUAACUGGAGAAUAUGUCUUCAACACAACUAGUGUGAGAGUAGACAACACUUCUGACUUCUGUAAGAAACGGUGUAUACAUUUACGUUAAUUCAGCAGAUGGUUUCAUUCGAAGCAGCUCGUAAUUUAGAGACUUGGCGGUUCGGGAAGGGCAGGGAGAUCCUUCACCACGGAGGUAAAGAGUGUUGGAGCUAAUCAUCGGUGAACUGAACGUGCAACCUUUGCCACUGAUUGCAAGAAAUAUGCAGAGUCUCCCUAUAGAUGUCAGAGCUAUCAGAAGCCCGAAGCCUGGCGCACAUGCCACUUUAGAGAGUCAGGACCGGACCAGACCGGACCAGACGUGAGGGAUUCCCUGUCCUGUCGUUCUCCGUGUCUGGCAGGACGGCGAGCGAUGGGAGAUGUGUCAUCUGAUCCGUGAUGAUUCGGCUGCUGCCGCUCUGGUUUGUACGGGUGUCUCUGGGCAGAGUCGGACUGAUCGUGUUUCGCUCCUCUCUCCCCUCAGACGCACUGCGGCAGCCGCUGCACACACACACACACAAACACACUGCACUCGCUUCUGUUUUUAGGAGGGAGGGAGUGGGACGGCUCUCUUGUCUUGUCUCUCCCAAACUAUUCCUUCUUCAAGUCUCGCUUGGAAGGCUUUCUGCGGAGAACCUGAACAUGCCUGGGAAGUUUGGAGGCAGGAUCUAUACCCUUGCUUUCCAUGAGGAAUACACCAUUUCCCCAAAUAGUUUGUGUGCUUGCAGCAGAUCCAAGAGGAACAAACGUUCUUGAAGGAGGGAAAGCAUUGUCUAUGGUCUGUGUGGCACUGGAUUAUGGCGAUGGACUCGGAUAGCAUUUCUGCUUCAGAUAUUAGGCUUUGACCACAGGCCUCUGCCAGCCGGACCCAUCCGAUCAUGCGAUCGUCCUGUAACUGGAUAAUACAUUCCCGGAGUCCUGCUUCCAGCGGGAGAAUCAGGGAGAGAGCUGCCCAGACAAGCUGACCUAAAUCGAUCCCAGCGCUGUCUGGAAGCUGCGAGAGCGAGAGAGAGCGAGAGAGAGCGGAUCUGUUCUCCGCCAGCAGCAUCAUGUGGAGAAUCAGAGGGACUGCACACUCUCUCUCUCUCUCUCUCUCUCUCUCUCUCUCUUGCUGCUGGAGGGAAACUGGCACGCCUUGCACAUCUCCCGGGGAUCAGCUCCUUUCCAACGGUUUCUUCCUCGUCUCCUCCAGCAGUGAUCAAUCCGUCAGGCUCUGGCGGCAGUUUCACGCUGAAUUAGUUGCUGCUCUGAGCCACUGUUAUCAGCCGGCGCUGGGGAACACAUCUACCUGGACCGGGACACGACUGCUCCGAAAACCGUCUGCGUCUGAAGAGCGGUGAGCGAGGGACAGUCUGGUAGUGGAUUAAUGCAGGAGUCUAUCCUUCUCUCUUCCCUCUCCACCUCCUGUUUUUACUGUGAGUGUAUCAUGCGCAUGUCUCUCUCUCUCCCUCUCUCUCUCUGACACACACACACACACACAUCAGUUCUCUCUGGCUUAUCUCAGUCUCUGUUGGCUGAUCUGUGAAGGGUGUUUUGCGGCUAUCAGAGAUGAUGUUUCUUACAAUAGCUCAGAAAACAUGAUUCAAACACUUGAGGAGGGAAACCAUGUGUAAUGUGAUGUAAACAUUUCAGCGGCUGCUCUUUUUAUUUAAAUGUUAUGUGUUAAAAUAACUAGUUUUACUACAACAAUGAUGUGCAGCUGAAGAAAAUGUCCUGACCUGAGAAAGCAGUUGCAGAAAUGUUCCUGAUGAACACAGAGCAUAAUACAAUAUAUAUUCUAUUUAAGUUACUGACAUGUUUAUAAAUCAAUUAAUAGUUACAGAGAUAAUUUGCCAAAUUUAAAUCAUUAUUCUGGUCACAUUUGAAAACAUCAGACCUGGCAUUUAAAAGUCAAAUUUUGUUGCGGUCCUCUGCGAGUAAGACAAAUGCAUGAUACAUAUAAGAUAGAAAUAUGGUUCAGAUUUAUUGUUCCUAUGUCUGAUCUCUUUAAAUAUUGUUGUAAUGUGACAUUUCAUUGGGUUUCAAAGUGCCUCUUGUUUUGUCAUACAUUUAUAUGUACUUUAUAUUAAAGAAAUGCACAUAAAUUCAAGAAAUAAUUAUGAAUAAAGACAGUUUGAAUCAAAUGCAGCAUGACAUUUCUUUAUGCAGUCUGUUUAGUCUCGUGUCUCCAGUAAAAUGUACCACAGUGCUAUUAUUCAGGAUGUGAGUUCUCAGUUCAUUAAAAGUACUAAAGGGUAAACUAUGCACCCUUUCUGAUCUAAUAUACAAAACGUGGUAAAAUGUUUAACAGUCUCAUCUCUGUCCUUCACCCUUGAACUGCAUCCAGAUCAUGUAUUACAGAUAACAGCUGACUAUAUUAGGCAUCAUAAUUACAGGCGCUCUGUCUCUAUCACACACUCAGGUGAUCGUAAUACCACCAGCAUUUCUAAUGCCAUGUGUCCUAUUAGAUGUGUACCAGCUAAAGCUUGUCCAUCUCAUUAGCUUGUGUUUCAGACUCAAAUCACCUGAUUACUGGCUCACUAAACGCUGGAAAUGUCAGGCAGGAUUGUUGUCAUUCUGUUCAGGUGUUUCGCAGUGCGACUCAUUGAGUGUUUUAGUAUCAUGACCGUAUUAUGGCAAGUUAUCCCAAUUUCAGUGAAUAUGUUAAAAUCAUUUUUAAUGCUUUCUCACUAUGAAAAAGACACGAUCAGUUCUCAUAAAAAGUGUAACUCUGCAAUGCUUGAUUUGAAAACAUUGAUCUGUUUUUUGAUC
Molecule: long non-coding RNA, 4757 nt
Organism: Carassius auratus (goldfish)
Lineage: Eukaryota; Metazoa; Chordata; Actinopteri; Cypriniformes; Cyprinidae
Exons: 2
Source: RefSeq, a predicted model, not a curated record